Salvia splendens (bonfire salvia) is the source of this 1932-nucleotide long non-coding RNA. RefSeq lists it as uncharacterized. The record is from RefSeq and is a predicted model, not a curated record. The transcript has 2 exons. NCBI's taxonomy places the organism in Eukaryota, Viridiplantae, Streptophyta, Magnoliopsida, Lamiales, Lamiaceae.
CUAAUUUUCUUCAUCAAAAUGGAUCGGCUAUGACAGAGGAGGCUCCAAGCUUCAUUUCUUCAAAUUUCUUACAUUUGAUCAUUCAUUCUUCGAAGUAAUCGCAUAACCGCUACACCCAAAUGUUAGCAAAUGAAAGGAAAAAGGAUCGGCGAAAGAAGAAAUGUCGAAUGGAAAGGUUUGGAAAUAACGUCAUCCAGGUAGCAUGCUCAGCACUUAAAUGGCCUAAUUCUCAUGUGCUUUUAUGUGAUUAUUAUGUGACCUAUUGUCUUAGUAAAUUAUGAUUAAUUAUGUGAUAAAAGACUUGUGGAGUAAAAUAUGAGAAAAUGAUGAAUUGUUGAAUGAUUUGGAAAUAUAUGUGUUGGUGUGAGAAAUGAUUAUAUGAAUUUGAUAAGGAAAUGGAUAUGAUUAUGUUUGUAAAGUUGGAGGUAAAUAUGUAAAUGUGCAUUAAGGUAAAUGUGGUAUCUGAUAUAGGCUGAUAAGAUAUAUACGAAUAUGAUUACAUGUGAUGAUGUGUGCUCUAUCUGUGAUGAUGUCUGAUGUGUUGUGUUCUGUUGAGAAUUGUCUGAAAUAAAGUAUAUGUAUGCGUGACUGUGCUUAUGCCUUGAUGAGAUGUAUACGAAUAUGUAAUUGCAGUAUGUGAUCUGUAUAUGUUGCUUCUGACACGAAAAAUGUAAAUUUGGAUAUGUGAUGGUAUUGAAAGAGCUGGAAAUUUAUCUGUUUAUCUAAUCUGAUAUGGUAUGAAAAGAAGAUACUGAUGUGUUAUGUUAGUAAUUAUUGAGAAUAAAUAUUGAUAUGAAAAUGAGUAUAUUUGACUGUGUUUACGCCCCGUGCUUGAGUGUGUUCUGUGGGUACAAUUGGCAUGCCAUAGGACAGCAGCGCUGCAUCAUCUGUGAUCUCUCGUCUUCUGGAUAACCGAAGCGAGGAUCGUCUGUUAUCUGAUCUGUCUGAUCUGCACCCUAUGGGUGGUCUGUUCCCGGGAUUAUCUGUCUGCAUCCGAAAUGGAUGGUCUGAUUAUCUGUCUGCACCCUAAUUGGGUGGUCUGUGCGGAGUCAUCUCGAGGACAAAAUCCGCGUCUGUAUCUAAUUCUGAUCUAGUCCGCGUACCCUAGUCUGUCACUAAGCACAUUAUGGGCCCAUAUGUGAAAAUUAUGUGAUAGUGUCGAUCAAAAUAUUCGUGAUGAUAUAUGUGACAAUACGUGUAUGAUAAUAUAUAAGUUAUAAUAUGAGAUUAGGUGAAACAUCUGCUAUAUUAUGAAAAUGGAUUAUGUUACAUGGUUCUGUUGAAUUAUGAUAUAAAUAUUGAGAAUCAGAGACUUGCAGACAUAGUUAUGACAUAUGGGAAUUCUUAUAUUAUUAUACCCUUCUGAUGACAUAGUUGGAAAUGUGAAGUUGUAAAUGAAGAUUUGACUACUGGUACAGGUAUGUUGAUACGUGUAAUGACGUCUGUGAUUUGUCUAUGUUAAUGUGUGGAUAUCAUGUGCAAUAUUUGAUGUUAUAUAUGAAUAUUAAUGACUGUUGAUAUGUUCUGGGAUUGACUUUGCCUACUGGUUGGAUUCUGGACAUGUGUUGGUUAUAGAGGAGAUGCUGCCCAAUUUAUGUUAGAAAUUGGUAAGACAAUAAUAAUAUGAUAUGUGUGGCAAUGAUUGGUAAAUAAAAUAAUACAAAUUUAAAGAAUUUUAAGUUGUAUGAUUAUUGCUUGUAGAGAAUUUUGGCUAUAGUGUUGGGUGUGCUACAGGUUAGUAAGCAUUGGAGGGUAUCGAUCAAUGUUUGUUAUGUUCGUCUCAGCGCUGCAUCCUUGGCGGGUCACUGAGCUCAGCUAGAAACAUAUGUUUCGAAUUGUUAGUUGUGGCAUGUUAGCACUAAAUAUUAUGUUAAAUUACUUUAGCUGUAAUUAUAGAAAUAAUUAUUGAUUUAAAGAUUUGGUUUUGAAUGA